This 511-nucleotide unclassified non-coding RNA is filed under the name Hevea brasiliensis (rubber tree). Lineage: Eukaryota; Viridiplantae; Streptophyta; Magnoliopsida; Malpighiales; Euphorbiaceae. The record is from RNAcentral.
GCAGCUAGUUCAGCACCCUGUGGUAACCAGUUAUCAGGAAAAUAUCUUCAAUAGGAAGUGCGGAUGAAGAGCAGUUGGGAUAAUAUGAUUCAAGAAAGUGAAAUUCUCAACCAACAGAAAAGGAAAUCUAGGCUGUAGGGAACAUAUUUAAAGCAGUUAGGCUGUGUAUGAUAGACAAUCCUCUCGUACUAACACUGUUUUGAUACAUAUUCGUAUGGUAAUCAGAGAUCUAUUUGGGAUAUGGCAUUUGUAACGUGAAAAUCAACAUAAGUCUCAAGAUGACUGAACAGGUGAUGGCAACAUUAGAUAGGUGAAUUGCAUGGCCCAAUAUAAUUUCUGCAGUUAUCAAUAACUUUAAGAAAGCCUCGUGAAGUAUGUUUCCCGAAGAGAAAUUUAUUGUUUUAUGAAUCAGGAAAAAUAUAUCUGGCCCUUCUAAAAUAACCAAUUCUGAAAUGUUUAUUACCAGAACUUAGGCGGUUAUAUGAAUCUAGGCUAGCAAGAAGGCAAUGAA